CUCCGUGGCCUGCCCGUCACCACCUGUCUGGGCUCCCUCCCCUUGAGUGAUGACUUCUCCCCAGCAGCUGACACCUGAGCUGGAGAGGGUGAAGAGCUGCCAUUCUCCAGAAAUAGACAGUGACACAGCGGAUGUUAGAUUGAGAUUAAUCUCUUGCACCGGACCGGCCCCUUGCCAACAAACAGGCCUGCAGCCAGAGGAUCUCUCAGGCCCUUUCCCCUGAUCUGGCCUCCUGGGAACUGCGUAACUCAGAUUAACAACAGGCUCUGGAGAGCUGAACAUUGUAUUACGUGCUCACUGGAAAUUUGGAUGUGUCCUUCUGUGAACUGCCUGCCCAGGAGCUAUGACAUGAGCUUUGCAAGUCUUCCCAAGAUGAGAGGCCCAGAGAACUUGGGCAAUUUGUCUAAGGCCACUUGGAGUCUGGACUGGAACCCAGGUCUCCUGACUCCCUGUGUAGUGCUCUUCCCAGGCACCAGGUCCUUAAUUCACCCUGAGCAUCUGGGGAAGCUGCACGUGCUACAGUCGCUGCUGCAGCCGCUUCAAGCCGCAGAGAAAUGUUCUUCGUAAGGAGGCAGCCGAGAAGGGACUGCAGGGCUUGCUUCUCUCCUGGGGACAGGGGUGCCAGGAACACCAGCUUUAAUUUCUGAUAGUGCUGACCUGUGUUCUCCACCACCACUUUCAUUAAAUAUCGACAGUUGCAUACAGGGAAAAUUCCCAAUUAAACUCCCGUCUCGUCUC
This is a long non-coding RNA of Homo sapiens (human), 738 nucleotides long. RefSeq lists it as uncharacterized. Lineage: Eukaryota; Metazoa; Chordata; Mammalia; Primates; Hominidae. The record is from RefSeq and is a predicted model, not a curated record. The transcript is spliced from 3 exons.